Long non-coding RNA from Esox lucius (northern pike), 925 nucleotides. NCBI's taxonomy places the organism in Eukaryota, Metazoa, Chordata, Actinopteri, Esociformes, Esocidae. The record is from Ensembl.
UCUGUCCGUCCUAAAUACACGUCCACCCGUCUCGUAGCGUUCAUCUAAUUCAGUUCCUAGUCACCUCUUAUUUCGGAUGCUGCCACGCCUUUGCCGGUGCCAGACAGAUGUACGCACGCAUAGACUCAUAGUCACCCAAGGCCGACUUCAACUCUCAAUCAUGCUGUGAAAUUGACGUCGACAAUUCAAUUCCAGCACCAAAGCCAGUCAAUUUGCCUUUGACCCUGAUAGGUCUCCAUAGCCGAGUAAAGAUAGGUCUCAUCCACAUCCCGAGAAAAGUAACUGGCCAUUUCACAAUUUACAAUCUUCUUGUCCUCUUUCCUUGCUACUAUCUCAAAAGUAAUUGGAUUAGAAAGCCAUCCCUCUGACCAUCUCUUCCGAUGGGAACGCCGGAGCCUUGGAGCUGCUGACCACUGCACUUCCGGCAGCGAUGCCAUUUCCGUCUCAACCUCCUAACACUCGCCUGUGAAAAGCCAGCGGAAAUGAGUAUUUUCUCCAGAGGAACAGAAUUUUAACAUUUUCUAAGAGCAAUGUGGUAAUUAGCUGUAUUUUACGCAUUUUUUUUGACACUUGGUUAUAAAAAGCCAACUAACAUUUAUAUUUGCCCCUGAGGAAUAUAUAUUUGGCCAGCUGCUCAUCUACACGUUUGAAUAUCUUGAUGAAUGAUUUGGCAUCCAAAGGCCAUCGACUCUUAAAUUUCUACUGUUGGACCUCCCCCGGAGCUUGGCUCUUCUCCAGGUUUCUUUCUCGGCUCCAAUCUUUCUAUGGUGUUUUUCCUAACCAAUAUGUGCUUCAACAUUCUAUUGCUUGCUCUAUGGGGUUUUACAAUGGUUUUCUUUGUCCUUAAUUAGACAUUCCUACUAAACUAACAUAUACAACCCAUUUCCAAAAAAGUUGUAAUGCUUCACAAAAUAUAAAUAAAAAC